This 440-nucleotide long non-coding RNA is filed under the name Rattus norvegicus (Norway rat). RNAcentral's name for it is "long non-coding RNA NONRATT031344". Lineage: Eukaryota; Metazoa; Chordata; Mammalia; Rodentia; Muridae. The record is from RNAcentral.
CCUCCCCUCCCCCUGUCUCUCCUGCCUUCCCAAACUGCGCCACAACUGGCUCACGCAAUGGACAAAACGGAAGGGAAUCCCGAAAGGGCUGUAACGUGGCGUCCGUACAAUUUGAUCUCUGCCAAUUUCUAAUAGAGGUGUGCAUCACUGUAUUUAGAAUCUGUCCGGAAAACAUCCAGGUUCAUAUCCACGCCUUCAGCCUUCUUUAUCUAUGCAGAGGCUGGUUCUCUACACGAGGUAAUCUUUACAGGUUAACCUGGAGUAAGUCAUAGGCUUACCCAGCUUUCAGCUAACUUUGCCAUGAUCCUUCCUUACUUCCUCAACCCUAAGGAAUGAGCCUGAGUGUGAUGUCUAAGGGCUUGCUCUCUGGACUCAUGUACUUCCUUAGUUUUAAAGAUGGGUUUUCAUCCUCCGUUUCUCAGUAAUUUAUAAUGUUUGGU